UGGGGAAUAUUGGACAAUGGGGGAAACCCUGAUCCAGCGAUGCCGCGUGUGUGAAGAAGGCCUGCGGGUUGUAAAGCACUUUCAGUUGGGAAGAUAGUUUGUAGGGGAAUAUCCUGCAGAUGAGACGUUACUAGCAAAAGAAGCACCGGCUAACUCUGUGCCAGCAGCCGCGGUAAUACAGAGGGUGCGAGCGUUAAUCGGAAUUACUGGGCGUAAAGCGCACGUAGGUGGCGACGUAAGUCGGGUGUGAAAGCCCCGGGCUCAACCUGGGAACCGCAUUCGAGACUGUGUUGCUGGAGUACGGAAGAGGAGGGCGGAAUUCCCGGUGUAGCGGUGAAAUGCGUAGAUAUCGGGAGGAACAUCAGUGGCGAAGGCGGCCCUCUGGUCCAGUACUGACACUCAAGUGCGAAAGCGUGGGGAGCAAACAGGAUUAGAUACCCUCGUAGUCCCUGAGCGGGCUGGCAAGGCGCAU
This 472-nucleotide ribosomal RNA is filed under the name uncultured bacterium. Its description in RNAcentral is "bacterial SSU rRNA". It matches the Rfam family "Bacterial small subunit ribosomal RNA", at positions 355 to 825 of the family's 1533-position model. The record is from RNAcentral.